AUUUAGCCCCGAUAGAAGCGAUAUCCUCUUAGUGGAACGGAGAGAUGAGAGAUGUAGCCGAAAGCGGGAACUAUG
This 75-nucleotide small RNA is filed under the name Flavobacterium chilense. Its description in RNAcentral is "Flavo-1 RNA". It matches the Rfam family "Flavo-1 RNA". The record is from RNAcentral. Lineage: Bacteria; Pseudomonadati; Bacteroidota; Flavobacteriia; Flavobacteriales; Flavobacteriaceae.